Carcharodon carcharias (great white shark) is the source of this 2023-nucleotide long non-coding RNA. RefSeq lists it as uncharacterized. NCBI's taxonomy places the organism in Eukaryota, Metazoa, Chordata, Chondrichthyes, Lamniformes, Lamnidae. The record is from RefSeq and is a predicted model, not a curated record. The transcript has 3 exons.
CCACCCUGUGGUAGAUUAUGCUCCCGGCACAGGGAUUAGAACAAUGUAAAUGUUGGCAAGGGCGAACAGUGGAAAUCCUUCUCUGGAGACUGGGGUCAGACUGAGUAAAGGGACAAACAUUGCGGUGAGCUGCCACACUGCGUAUUGGCUGUUCAGUGUUCGAGAGAGCAGGAAAUCUAGCAGUCCACCAUUGCUUAAAGCCAACCUGUAGCUCAUAAAGGAGUGAUGAAGUCUUCAUUGACGCUGUAUGUGGACUCGACAGUCAUUACUGAUCCACUACGUUGGGGAGUUUAGAGACACCAGUCUGUGCACAGAAAGAUGACUGAUGGAGGAACAGAGUGAAAAUGUAGCUACAGGAUUGCCAAAGCUGGAAAUGAGGAUGAUGGGGGUUUCCUGACAAUUAUGGAAUUUCGAGAACCUUGCUGACAACUGGUUGCUCAUGUGUUAAAUUGAAAGAAUGUACAAAAAAAAAAUGAAAUUCUUAUUUUGACAGGAUUGAAGUUACCAGGCUGGCAGUUUAUGAUUCAGAACACAAGAACUGGCUCUUCCAGGAUCAUAACAUGUCUCAAAACAUCUUGCCCUCAAUUUUUUUUCCACUUCAACGUUUUUAUAACAACUUGCCAUUGUUUAUCCUACAGGGAGUAUGUGGUUCACAGAUAAACGGAAACUAGUACCUCCAGUUGAUAACUCAGUCUUUAUCAGAGAACUUGCUGCAACUCUUAAUUACACAUAUCUUAAAAAUAGCUCAUUGCAGGAAACUGUCAGUCUGCAGGAUCUUUAUCUUUUGUCCCCAAGUACACAGACAGAAUCAGCUCAGGUGAACACUCUAAGGAAAAAUACAAAGCAGUAAGUUCAGAGUCAAUGGCUAUCAAGAACAGCUGGUUUCUGAUCCUAAGCUUUUCUUGUACAGCAACAAUAUUCAUACUUCAGCUAUUUGUAGAUUUGAACCUUUCCACCUCAUUGGCCUCAACACAUACUGCAUCCUGUGCUUCUGAACUCACAUUCACAUACUGCCUGCCUGCAGGAUGUGGACUGGGCUGGGAUUCUGUGCUGCUUUCUCACUGCUUUAUUUACUGUCCAGUAAAAGGAAAUAUUAAGGGGCAGAGAUUAGUUGAUGACAAUAAGUACUCUUUUAGCAAUCAAGACUCAUUCCAAGUUACACCGUUUGAUGUUAACUGAUGCACUGACUGUUUGGAGUACAACUGAAUGCAGAAUCAAUGUCAACAUUUUCUGGUAGGGAUUUAUCCCAGUAUGCAUUCAGCAGAUGAAAAGACGGAUAAAACAGAACUCUUUAAUAGAACAACUGAUCCUGCAAGUUUUCCUUUCCUCUCUUGUGUAAACAGGUUCCUGGCAUUUGGUAUGAUUGAAAUCGAAAAUUCACUGAAUGGGGAAAUCACAGAUCACAUCACUGUGUUUUGUGUCUCUCAAUGUUCCUGAGAGCGGCCAUAAGCAAUAUAUUGGUUGGGAUUGUAGCUUUCUGCAAAAUGUGCACAGGUAGCACAAAUUCCAAAUAAAUUAGUUACUGCCUGCCUGAAAAUAACACCAGCAGGAAUCUGGCACAAAUGUCCUAACCACUUGCAUCUAGAAGAUAGAUCAAAAUUUCCCCAUGAUAAACUUCACGAUCACAAGCCAAUAGUUUUUCUUUUUAAUCAAACCAUUAGUAACUCAAAGGUAAGGUGUGCUUCUGCUGCAUCACACGCUGAUUAAUUAGAGCAGUUCAGUUUAUCAUAAUAUUGAAUAAAUAAUCCUCAAGUUGGUUCCAUUAUUUUACUUGCCUAUAAGAAGCCUGGCCAGAAAAUGGAUGCAACAAUGACUAGUUUCUACCCCUUAACUUAAAAACAAUGAAAAUAAACUCAGCCCACAAAGCUAAAAUACCCCUUUUGUAUGAUCUGUCUAUUACACGGCUCAACAAUUGAACUGAAACACGUUUGAUGAAACACUAGCAUAAAUCUUCAUAGUGGAAAGAAAGACUUUCAUUUAUAUAGUUCCUUUUACAACCAAUAAACAUUUUGUUUAACUGAAA